CGCGGCCUAUCAGCUUGUUGGUGGGGUAAUGGCCUACCAAGGCGAUGACGGGUAGCCGGUCUGAGAGGAUGGUCGGUCACACUGGGACUGAGACACUGCCCAGACUCCUACGGGAGGCUGCAGUCGAGAAUCUUCCGCAAUGGGCGAAAGCCUGACGGAGCGACACCGCGUGCAGGAUGAAAGCCUUAGGGUUGUAAACUGCUGUCACGCUAUAGGAAUGACGCGUCGUUAAUAUCUGCGCGUUUGACCAAAGCGAGAGGAAGCACCGGCUAACUCCGUGCCAGCAGCCGCGGUAAGACGGAGGGUGCAAACGUUGUUCGGAAUCACUGGGCAUAAAGCGCACGCAGGCGGCCAGUUAAGUCAGGUGUGAAAGCCCACGGCUCAACCGUGGAACUGCAUUUGAAACUGACUGGCUAGAGGACGGUUGGGGUGAGUGGAACUCCUGGUGGAGCGGUGAAAUGCGUAGAUAUCAGGAGGAACACCAGUGGCGAAAGCGGCUCACUGGACCGUGUCUGACGCUCAGGUGCGAAAGCUAGGGUAGCGAACGGGAUUAGAUACCCCGGUAGUCCUAGCCGUAAACGAUGGGUACUAGGUAGGGGGGAUACCUAUGGUCUUCUCUACCGCAGCAAAUGUGUUAAGUACCCCGCCUGGGGAGUACGG
This 660-nucleotide ribosomal RNA is filed under the name uncultured actinomycete. RNAcentral describes it as "bacterial SSU rRNA". It matches the Rfam family "Bacterial small subunit ribosomal RNA", at positions 232 to 885 of the family's 1533-position model. Lineage: Bacteria; Bacillati; Actinomycetota; Actinomycetes; Actinomycetales. The record is from RNAcentral.